ACGUGGUGCAAUUGGCUAGACACACUACCUUGAGGUGGUAGCGCCGCAAGGCAUGCGGGUUCGACUCCCGCCGUCCGCA
Molecule: transfer RNA, 79 nt
Filed under: Candidatus Nealsonbacteria bacterium CG08_land_8_20_14_0_20_36_22
Lineage: Bacteria; Candidatus Nealsoniibacteriota
Description: tRNA-Leu
Rfam family: tRNA
About the family: Transfer RNA (tRNA) molecules are approximately 80 nucleotides in length. Their secondary structure includes four short double-helical elements and three loops (D, anti-codon, and T loops).
Source: RNAcentral